Molecule: ribosomal RNA, 301 nt
Filed under: uncultured bacterium
Lineage: Bacteria
Description: partial 16S ribosomal RNA
Rfam family: Bacterial small subunit ribosomal RNA
Source: RNAcentral
CAGCCGCCGCGGGAAAACGUAGGAGGCAAGCGUUGUCCGGAAUUAUUGGGCGUAAAGGGCUCGCAGGCGGUUUCUUAAGUCUGAUGUGAAAGCCCCCGGCUCAACCGGGGAGGGUCAUUGGAAACUGGGAAACUUGAGUGCAGAAGAGGAGAGUGGAAUUCCACGUGUAGCGGUGAAAUGCGUAGAGAUGUGGAGGAACACCAGUGGCGAAGGCGACUCUCUGGUCUGUAACUGACGCUGAGGAGCGAAAGCGUGGGGAGCGAACAGGAUUAGAUACCCCCGUAGUCCCUGUCUCUUAUAC